RNAcentral lists this long non-coding RNA (3048 nucleotides) under Strigops habroptila (Kakapo). RNAcentral describes it as "lncRNA (ENSSHBG00005006783.1)". The record is from RNAcentral. Lineage: Eukaryota; Metazoa; Chordata; Aves; Psittaciformes; Psittacidae.
UGGGUGAGAUACUUGCUUUAGUGUACAUCAACCACAAAAACCGUGCUCUCCCUUACAGUGAGCCACUGCACUGUACCUGCUUUCUUAGUGAUGUAAACAGCCAUUUCAAAGGGCAUGUUUGGUGAUAGCACAUUGUAAAUCCUCUUGUGCCUACCUGUAAAGGCUAAGGUGAGCCUUGCAGGGCCUUCGCAUCCAAAUGGAAGUGAGCACCUCUAUUCUCUGCCCCUUCCACUGCCUUUGGGGACAACCAGAUUACCUUCCUUGCCAGCUAGAUGUUCACCAUCAUCACCAAACCCUACAGCACUACCUCAUUUCAUGCUUCAGAGCUGAAAUCGGUCACCUACCUACAUCAGGAAUAAUCCUAUUUUGCAGCUUGCUUCCUCACCAGCCCUGGGCGCAUCAGGGAUUUGUUCUCUUCUCCCUCAAAGCACUGAGCUGGAAGCAAAAGCCUGGAAGAAAACACCCUUUUGAGCAGGGAAAAAGAACUCUCUUUUUUGACCUGACACAGGCAGUCAAGGAGAUGAAGUUCAAAGCACACAAAUGAUAGGUCACCCAGAAAUGCCAAGCAAGAAUGAAUUUGGUUUAGUACCAGUACAAGGGGCACAGAUUUUGGAUUCACAUCUAAGGUGUUGGGUAGCUUCAUGAAGAGCACUCUGACUCACCACCUAUGUGGAACAGAAACACAUUCCUACUAUCUGCCAGAGUUUGAGUGAGACACAGUAAAGCAGAAAAGGGAUUUCACCAUCUGACCUUCAAGCAGGAAUGUUCUAUCAGAGGAAUCACGAAUUCUAAUCAGACACCAAAAUACAGGAAAAAUAGGUAUUUUUCAAAGAUACGAAAAGGGUAAGAACAGCCUCCAAAUACAGCCUCAGAUCCUAAGCCUCCCCUUUAACAGCAGUGUUGAUUUCUCCUUCACAAUUUGCUACAGAACAUGAACAUUUUAAGUCAAUCCUGCACUCCACAUCUGAUGAGAAGGCAUAUUUCUAUUUAGCCUUUUUAAGAACAAAUUUUCAUUGGCUAUACCAAAUGCAGAAAACAGUCAGGAUGCCCAAUACUUCAGCACACCCUGAAAAGAUGGCUCCACAGCUCCACACUUUGUAACCAAACUGGGAUGGGACCAAUGCCAGACGGUUUUGCCAUCAACUAUUGCUACUACUGCAGACCAAAGCAAAGCACAUGCUGUAACACACAGCAAGCAUGUGAGUCUGUAGUCUUCUACUCUUCUAUGAAGACGUUUAUCCAAACCACACUUCCGUAACACAUACAAGAGAUCUCAGGCAUAACCAUACUUGUGAUCACACACACCAGACCCAGACUUCCACUCCUACAAAAAGUGGUGCUGACAGAACGAGAGGCAUUAUGGUGUGUGGGGGUUUUACUGGUUGUCACAAGCCUUGCACUUAACUGCACUGAGUCAGUACCUGGCGCUACUGAAAUCCUACCAGCUUUCCAGAGGAAGCAAAUCCACAACGGUGCAAGCCACACUAGGGAAUUCCUUCGCACAGCACAGGGCUGUUUCUCUCACACAGCAACCAAGGGAGACAUCGUAUAUGGCUCCAGUAAAAGAAAUCCUUGGUAUUUAAAGGAGGUACAGGCAAGUUGCUUAAAUCCAAUCUAGGGCCUCUCUGUAAUUCAUGAAUAAAGAUGACUCCAGAUAUAAUUAUUGUCAUAACAACUUCAUUUCAGAAAGCUAAGAAUAUAGUUGGGACAAUCCACUGUUCUGCAUCCUUACCCAAGACUGGGGUGCUACCAGCCAAGGCCUUCUCAUGCUGGCACUGGAAGUCAGGUUUAGAAACAAGCCAUUACCAACAUCUAUGAGCAUGUGCAAAAAGUAGUUGUUACCAUCAUGUUUUUAUUACCACAAAGACAUACAGUGAUACUGAGAACAGAGCAUGUAUCCUUUUUAAUCUGCUGAGCUCAAUUCUUGUUCUGAGUGCAACACGUACUGUAGUGAUGACCCCUGGAAGCAAAUCAAAGAGGAGCAGCUCUCCAUGGAGUCUGACAUAAAUAAAAUCAAGGGACAUAAUGCUUUUGCGACAAGUUUAAGGGAGGUCAAUAUUUCCACAGGUGUAGCUUAGGGCUGUAAACCUGUAUUAAACUAUUCUUGCAGUCUGACUUGUGCAAAGUUCCCAGUACUCCUCCACACCUGAAAUCCAACGCAGAGGAGGCAUUACCUGCACUGAUCAGAACUGCAGCAUUUAUUUCUUCUAGUCAUUAUGCUAAAACACACCUUAACUAAACCAGCUUCAGUUAAAAAAAGAAGAACCACUUAUCACAAAUUAACCCAGGAGUCACCUCAUUCCAGGUGCAGGCACUUCAGCAGUAAUACCCUGUGGAUUUAGUCAUGCCAGAAAUACCUGCAAGACUCCAUAGUUGUAGGAGCAAUCACAGGGAAGCUUGGCUCAAGGUUUCCAUGUGUGGGAUAGAAACAGCAUGGAAAACUAAUCACAGCCAUUCAGAUUGCAUCACGAAUGUGAGAUUAUCAGGCAAAACUAAGUUUGCUUAUCCUGGGAUCCCUCCUCAUGCUACCACAGCUACUUACACACAGCAGGCAAAGGCUCCAGCUUUCUAGAUAUGAUCAGGAAAAGGUUAAGAAACUGAGAAUGAAUUUUCAAGAGAACUCUUUGCAUUGUGAAGCAAUUCCAGGACAGAAAAAGCUGGCAGAGUCGCAUUUGAACACGCAUUCGAUGUGCUCCUUGUGCCUGAUGCAAUUCAGCUGCACAGAGGUGCAAAAUUCUGAGCAGUCAGAGGCGCUGCUUCCACAUCCAGUCACACUCCAAGGAAGGACAAUGCGUUAGGCCAGAGGGUGCUUGGCUGGCUAGCUGGUCUCAAGCACAAAACCAAUCUCCAGAGCUCCCAAGUCUCUUACUAAAACAAAGAAGUUACUCCAGCAAAAGAGGUAAGUAGGAUAAACUGUGAUUUCCCCAGCAUGAGGCAGAAAAAGAAUCCCAUUACACUGCAAUAAACACAAGAGUUCGAGUCACCAAUUUAAUUUUAUACAAGUCAAACUACACGUUGUAUAAAGAGUACAAGGCAGUUCUAAUGUUU